This 1370-nucleotide long non-coding RNA is filed under the name Camelus dromedarius (Arabian camel). RNAcentral describes it as "lncRNA (ENSCDRG00005009788.1)". Lineage: Eukaryota; Metazoa; Chordata; Mammalia; Artiodactyla; Camelidae. The record is from RNAcentral.
CGCGCGCCCGUGGGGAGGACCCCCCGCCCGCCGCCGCCGCGCCUCGCCCGCGACCCCGCACAGGCCCCGGCCGGCGCGCGCGCCGCCCGCGUCAACCGCCAGUCCCUCCGUCCCGCAGAGCUUCCUCACCGGCGCGACACAGUCCGGCGUCCCACGGCCCCCCCGUCACGCACGGCAGCCUCGCGCCUGCCCGGCCGUCAGUUGCACACGCACAGGCGGCUGCUCAGCCCACUGUCCCGCACAGGCCUGGCCGCAGCAGUUUCCUCAAGCCCGCUCCUCGAGCGCCGCCCGCACAGCGACCGCGAGGAGAGUGCAACCUGUCUGACAGAUGUUGAGCCAGGCAGAGCAGGACAAUGUUCUGCAGUUCAGAGCUGAGAGGCCCAGCAGAGCACCCAGCUGAUGCUAGAGAGAUCCAGGCUUCCAGGAAUGUGCUUGCUGCUACCACCCAGGAUGUCCUUCACAACUAGUCUUGACCAGCAUCUAGUUGCUCUGCACCUGCCCUCAGAAGAAAAAAGUUUCUUGCUGGGAAAGGUAGGCACAAUUUCCUGCUCAUCAGUAAAAUCUGCCUGCAAGGUCUCCUGUCCUCGAGUUUUAGUUGUGGUCCAAGGUGGGUCCCCUGGUUGAGGCAGGUCCUGCUGAAGUGUAUUGAUUGGGCGCUGGACUAGCAUGUCUGCUGCUAUCCCUACCUUCAGCCGUCUACCACCUCAGCACCACAGAACUCAACAAUACCUGGCUGCGGUCUCUUGCUCCAAAGCAAUAAUGGCUGCAUAAACUUUCAUUCCCUGGGUGAAUGCUGCCUCCCUCCCCGACUACUGAAUGCAGGCUGCCAGGAAGGCCCCUCUAGGACUCUCUGCAGUAGGCCCAGCCCAGCCCCCAGAGCUCAGAGCCCAUCAGGGCAGAUAGCGCCCCCCCUCAGAAAACACCUGUGUGUGCUCGCAAGGGCUAGCCAAGUGACCAGUUCUGACCCCUUUGGCCUUCCUACUCCCUGCUCCAUUUGCCCAGGAGACCUCAUCCUUCAACCUGAAUUCCAGACUUAGCUGUAAUCUAAGAUGAAAGGACUAACAAUUUUUGUAGGGACCCUAGCCAGCUUGGAUGCUAGAGCCCUGGAAAGUGGUCACAAACCACUCCUCGUCUCAGGCAACACAAGAAGACUGCAUUCCAUCUGCGAGAGAGCUUCUGGGAUCCAGUGUUCUAGUUGGCUUAGCACCCUUAAUUCCUGCCAUCCUGACUGAAAGCUGAGCCACAUAAGCAAACCCAAAGAAGUUCCCCACUGCUUCUGGCCAGCACACAUGAAGUGUGUUCCAGGACCUGUCACUCAAAUACACUUGCUCAAUCUUGCUCAAUAAACCCACCCUAGGCUCCAAAUAUAC